UACGGGGGGGGCAAGCGUUGUUCGGAAUUACUGGGCGUAAAGGGCUCGUAGGCGGCCAACUAAGUCAGACGUGAAAUCCCUCGGCUUAACCGGGGAACUGCGUCUGAUACUGGAUGGCUGGAGGUUGGGAGUGGGAUGCGGAAUUCCAGGUGUAGCGGUGAAAUGCGUAGAUAUCUGGAGGAACACCGGUGGCGAAGGCGGCAUCCUGGACCAAUUCUGACGCUGAUGAGCGAAAGCCAGGGGAGCAAACGGG
Molecule: ribosomal RNA, 253 nt
Filed under: uncultured bacterium
Lineage: Bacteria
Description: partial 16S ribosomal RNA
Rfam family: Bacterial small subunit ribosomal RNA
Source: RNAcentral